RNAcentral lists this long non-coding RNA (274 nucleotides) under Ananas comosus (pineapple). Its description in RNAcentral is "long non-coding RNA (ACOM_LNC030712)". Lineage: Eukaryota; Viridiplantae; Streptophyta; Magnoliopsida; Poales; Bromeliaceae. The record is from RNAcentral.
AGAAAACGGCGAUGAUGGAGGUACACGAGACAAGGGGAGAGAGCCACAGGAGACGUCGACGAAGAAGGGGCUCGGUCGUAAGUGUACCAUCCAGUAAGGAAACGUUAAGAUUGAUUCGCACUAUCUGAAGUACUGUGCUUUAUUUGCGACGAGGCACCACCCUAUACCAGGUUCUUAAAUUCUUCCAGAUCUUUAUUCUUAUCGAUAGAUUCUAAUUUUUUUCUGACUAUACUGUCUCUUUACGAACAAUAUAGUACCAAAACGUCAAUGCCAA